This 208-nucleotide ribosomal RNA is filed under the name uncultured delta proteobacterium. Its description in RNAcentral is "partial 16S ribosomal RNA". It matches the Rfam family "Bacterial small subunit ribosomal RNA", at positions 568 to 775 of the family's 1533-position model. The record is from RNAcentral. Lineage: Bacteria; Deltaproteobacteria.
CGUGCAGGCGGUUGCUUAAGUCUGAUGUGAAAGCCCUGGGCUCAACCCGGGAAGUGCAUUGGAAACUGGGCAACUUGAGUACGGGAGAGGAUAGUGGAAUUCCGAGUGUAGGGGUGAAAUCCGUAGAUAUUCGGAGGAACACCGGUGGCGAAGGCGGCUAUCUGGACCGAUACUGACGCUGAGACGCGAAAGCGUGGGGAGCAAACAG